Molecule: ribosomal RNA, 305 nt
Filed under: uncultured bacterium
Lineage: Bacteria
Description: bacterial SSU rRNA
Rfam family: Bacterial small subunit ribosomal RNA
Source: RNAcentral
GCCUACGGGGGGCAGCAGUAGGGAAUUUUCGUCAAUGGGCGCAAGCCUGAACGAGCAAUGCCGCGUGAACGAGGAAGGUCUUCGGAUCGUAAAGUUCUGUUGAAGGGGAAAAAGAGCGGAGAGAGGAAAUGGUCUCCGAUUGAUAUUACCCUUCGAGGAAGUCACGGCUAACUACGUGCCAGCAGCCGCGGUAAUACGUAGGUGGCGAGCGUUAUCCGUAAUGAUUGGGCGUAAAGGGUGCGUAGGCGGCCUGCUAAGUCUGGAGUGAAAGGUACCGGCUCAACCGGUACAGGCUCUGGAAACUG